This 461-nucleotide ribosomal RNA is filed under the name uncultured bacterium. RNAcentral describes it as "partial 16S ribosomal RNA". It matches the Rfam family "Bacterial small subunit ribosomal RNA", at positions 28 to 507 of the family's 1533-position model. The record is from RNAcentral.
GGUGAACGCUGGCGGCGUGCUUAAGACAUGCAAGUCGAACGAUCGUCUUCGGACGGUAGUGGCGCCCGGGUGAGUAACGCGUAACUGACCUGCCCCCUAGUUCCGAAUAACCCUCCGAAAGGCGGGCUAAUACGGGAUGUGCUGUCCCCUCCUGUGGGGCCAGUAAAGGCUUGACCGCUUGGGGAUUGGGUUGCGUUCCAUCAGCUAGAUGGUGGGGUAAAGGCCUACCAUGGCAAGGGCGGCUAACCGGCCUGAGAGGGGGGCCGGUCACAGGGGCACUGGGGACUGAGUUCCACUCCUACGGGAGGCAGCAGGUAGGAGUCGUGCCCAAUGGACGAAAGGCUGAGGGAGCGUCGCGGAGUGAGGGAUGAGGGUUGACGGAUCGUAAACCGCAGAAUCAGGGACGAAGGACGCGGAAGCGAGAGGACGUAACCUGAGUAAUAGCACCGGCUAACUCCGUG